Long non-coding RNA from Vicia villosa (hairy vetch), 1325 nucleotides. RefSeq lists it as uncharacterized. The transcript is spliced from 3 exons. Lineage: Eukaryota; Viridiplantae; Streptophyta; Magnoliopsida; Fabales; Fabaceae. The record is from RefSeq and is a predicted model, not a curated record.
AUGACUGAGACACCAUCUUGAUUGAGGCUCAGCAGGGUUGCACAACAUGCUUUUGUACGAAGAGAAAGGAGUCCGACAACCUAGCCUCCUUUUGCCUCUGGAUAGGCCAUACCGAAUGCACCUCCUACAGCUUCAGCCUCUAUUGUUUCUACUUCUACUCCUAUUACGUCGUUCUCCCGCAGCAGGCGGGAUUAUCCUGUUCAUCUAUCUCCGCCCCCGUCCCCCCGCAAACGCACUUCUCCACUGAGUGCAUUUGAGGCGGGAGAGUCGUACGGUUCUCAUGAGACACCAUAGACCAAGCCACAGCCUUCAUCACAAUCUCGGUCCCAGAUGACACCUGAGGCGUCUCCUCAGUCAUCCCAAGCACCUGAGCUGGCUCAUGAGGCGGCACUUAAGCCUGAGCCUGCACCUACACAAGUUGCACCUGCGGCGCCUUAGAAUUUUGAAGGAGGAUCAUCUGAUUUAUCCUUUCUUCCUCUUUAUCCUGACCAUGUUGCUAGAUAUAUAUGGGAUGGAUCGAGAUGGAUGCUACAACACUUCCCCUUCAUUUCAGGUUGGUCACUUGCUACAGGUUAUACUGAAGAUAAGUCGCGUGCCUACGCAUACGACCCGCACCGAGGGACUCAAGAUAUAAAGCCAUUCCGGGUGUACAUUGACCGGAUGGUGCAUGAGGACAUACACUUUUGUUCAUACAUCGACCACCGUGUGACGAUACCAUUUGACGACUUUGUACUUUUUACGGGAUGGAUGGCCUGCGGAUUCUCAAGAAGAUUUCUUAUAUGCCUGAGUGGGUGAUGCGUCAGUUCGGUUUCACCCAGACCAUUACUCGAGAUCCUACUAUAUCUGCUCCUCCGAUGGUAAAACGGAGGGAUUUGGAUGCUUUGUUUGAUGAUUUUGAAAAUCAUCUUGUUCCUGAUGAGGCCAGGAGUAUCGUAGCACUAGGAAACUAGAGCUACGUGUACAGUUACAUGAUAUGGUUCUUCUAGGUGUCUCAUUCAUACGUGGUACAUGAUGCUCCAGGGAACCCACCGAGGUCAGUUCAUCAAGAGAUCCUAGAGGAGGAGGAGGCUAGGGUCGAUCAUGCCACUGACGUGUUUCCUAGGUGUCUUCGUAUCAUGGAGAUUGCGCGGGAUGGAGGCAACGGCGGGACGCUUCGAGAGUGACAGGCCGACUCAUCAUCUGUCGUACCCAGUAGUAUUUGAUGAAGUAUUUGUAUUUUGGUUCUAGUUUUUUGUUAGCGUAUUUGGAUGACAUUUUUGGGUUAUCCCUUUAUCGACCACGGACACUUUUUGUGAUGUGUACUACUAUAUCACUAUAUAUAUAUA